UGAGGAAUAUUGGUCAAUGGGCGAGAGCCUGAACCAGCCAAGUAGCGUGCAGGAUGACGGCCCUAUGGGUUGUAAACUGCUUUUAUAUGGGAAUAAAGUGAGGGACGUGUCCCUUAUUGCAUGUACCAUCUGAAUAAGGACCGGCUAAUUUCGUGCCAGCCGCCGCGGUAAUACGGAAGGUUCAGGCGUUAUCCGGAUUUAUUGGGUUUAAAGGGGGCGUAGGCUGUUUGUUAAGCGUGUUGUGAAAUGUAAGAGCUCAACUUUUAGAUUGCAGCGCGAACUGGCAGACUUGAGUGCGCACAACGUAGGCGGAAUUCAUGGUGUAGCGGUGAAAUGCUUAGAUAUCAUGACGAACUCCGAUUGCGAAGGCAGCUUACGGGAGCGAAACUGACGCUAAAGCUCGAAGGUGCGGGUAUCGAACAGG
RNAcentral lists this ribosomal RNA (424 nucleotides) under Verrucomicrobiota bacterium. RNAcentral describes it as "Verrucomicrobia bacterium partial 16S ribosomal RNA". It matches the Rfam family "Bacterial small subunit ribosomal RNA", at positions 355 to 776 of the family's 1533-position model. The record is from RNAcentral. Lineage: Bacteria; Pseudomonadati; Verrucomicrobiota.